CGUAGGUGGCAAGCGUUGUCCGGAUUUACUGGGCGUAAAGAGCGCGCAGGCGGUCGAAUGAGUCGCGUGUGAAAGCCCCCGGCUCAACUGGGGAGGGUCACGCGAUACUGUUCGACUCGAAGGCAGGAGAGGGAAGCGGAAUUCCCGGUGUAGUGGUGAAAUGCGUAGAUAUCGGGAGGAACACCAGUGGCGAAGGCGGCUUCCUGGCCUGUUCUUGACGCUGAGGCGCGAAAGCUAGGGUAGCAAACGGGAUUAGAUACCCCGGUAGUCCUAGCCGUAAACGAUGGACACUAGGUGUUGGUGGUAUCAACCCGCCAGUGCCGUAGCUAACGCAUUAAGUGUCCCGCCUGGGGAGUACGGCCGCAAGGCUA
RNAcentral lists this ribosomal RNA (371 nucleotides) under uncultured organism. RNAcentral describes it as "bacterial SSU rRNA". It matches the Rfam family "Bacterial small subunit ribosomal RNA", at positions 526 to 896 of the family's 1533-position model. The record is from RNAcentral.